UACGGAGGGUGCGAGCGUUAAUCGGAAUUACUGGGCGUAAAAGCGCGCGUAGGCGGCUUCGUCAGUCAGAUGUGAAAAGCCCCCCGGGCUCAACCUGGGAACUGCAUUUUGAUACUGCGGAGCUAGAGUAUGGUAGAGGAUAGUGGAAUUCCAGGUGUAGCGGUGAAAAUGCGUAGAUAUCUGGAGGAACAUCAGUGGCGAAGGCGACUGUCUGGACCAAUACUGACGCUGAGGUGCGAAAAGCGUGGGGAGCAAACAGGAUUAGAUACCCCUGAAC
RNAcentral lists this ribosomal RNA (277 nucleotides) under uncultured bacterium. RNAcentral describes it as "partial 16S ribosomal RNA". It matches the Rfam family "Bacterial small subunit ribosomal RNA", at positions 524 to 793 of the family's 1533-position model. The record is from RNAcentral.